CUACGGGGGGCAGCAGUCAAGAAUAUUUCCCAAUGGACGAAAGUCUGAGGGAGCGACGCCGCGUGGUUGAAGAAGCCCUUCGGGGUGUAAAGACCUUUUCUCGGGGACGAAUCAAUGACGGUACCCGAGGAAUAAGAGGUUGCUAACUCUGUGCCAGCAGCAGCGGUAAUACAGAGACCUCAAGCGUUAUCCGGAUUUAUUGGGCGUAAUGCGUCCGCAGGCUGUUUAUUAAGUCAAUGGUCAAAUUUUUAGGCUCAACCUAAAGACUGCCAUUGAAACUAAUAAACUUGAGACUGGGAGAGGCUAGCGGAAUUGCCGGUGUAGGGGUAAAAUCCGUUAAUAUCGGCAAGAACACCAAAUGCGAAGGCAGCUAGCUAGAACAGUUCUGACGCUCAUGGACGAAAGCGUGGGUAGCGAAUGGGAUUAGAUACCCGGGUAGUC
This 441-nucleotide ribosomal RNA is filed under the name uncultured bacterium. RNAcentral's name for it is "partial 16S ribosomal RNA". It matches the Rfam family "Bacterial small subunit ribosomal RNA", at positions 339 to 795 of the family's 1533-position model. The record is from RNAcentral.